Molecule: ribosomal RNA, 333 nt
Filed under: uncultured bacterium
Lineage: Bacteria
Description: bacterial SSU rRNA
Rfam family: Bacterial small subunit ribosomal RNA
Source: RNAcentral
GACGAACGCUGGCGGCGUGCCUAAUACAUGCAAGUCGAACGGUCUUUUCUAUGGAAGCUUGCUUCCACUGGGAAGAUAGUGGCGGACGGGUGAGUAACACGUGGGUAACCUGCCCAUAAGAGGGGGAUAACAUCCGGAAACGGGUGCUAAUACCGCAUAGGUUUCUUGGUCGCAUGAUCGAGAAAGGAAGACGGCCUUUGUGCUGUCGCUUAUGGAUGGACCCGCGGCAUAGUAGUUGGCGAGGUAACGGCUCACCAAGGCAAUGACGGGUAGCUGGUCUGAGAGGAUGGUCAGCCACACUGGGACUGAGACACGGCCCAGACUCCUACGGGA